This 386-nucleotide ribosomal RNA is filed under the name Clostridioides difficile. RNAcentral describes it as "bacterial SSU rRNA". It matches the Rfam family "Bacterial small subunit ribosomal RNA", at positions 167 to 571 of the family's 1533-position model. Lineage: Bacteria; Bacillati; Bacillota; Clostridia; Peptostreptococcales; Peptostreptococcaceae. The record is from RNAcentral.
UACGGGAUAAUAUAUUUGAGAGGCAUCUCUUGAAUAUCAAAGGUGAGCCAGUACAGGAUGGACCCGCGUCUGAUUAGCUAGUUGGUAAGGUAACGGCUUACCAAGGCGACGAUCAGUAGCCGACCUGAGAGGGGGAUCGGCCACAUUGGAACUGAGACACGGUCCAAACUCCUACGGGAGGCAGCAGUGGGGAAUAUUGCACAAUGGGCGAAAGCCUGAUGCAGCAACGCCGCGUGAGUGAUGAAGGCCUUCGGGUCGGAAAACUCUGUCCUCAAGGAAGAUAAUGACGGUACUUGAGGAGGAAGCCCCGGCUAACUACGUGCCAGCAGCCGCGGUAAUACGUAGGGGGCUAGCGUUAUCCGGAUUUACUGGGCGUAAAGGGUGCG